This 316-nucleotide ribosomal RNA is filed under the name Acinetobacter baumannii. RNAcentral's name for it is "bacterial SSU rRNA". It matches the Rfam family "Bacterial small subunit ribosomal RNA", at positions 1 to 317 of the family's 1533-position model. Lineage: Bacteria; Pseudomonadati; Pseudomonadota; Gammaproteobacteria; Moraxellales; Moraxellaceae. The record is from RNAcentral.
UUUAACUGAAGAGUUUGAUCAUGGCUCAGAUUGAACGCUGGCGGCAGGCUUAACACAUGCAAGUCGAGCGGGGGAAGGUAGCUUGCUACUGGACCUAGCGGCGGACGGGUGAGUAAUGCUUAGGAAUCUGCCUAUUAGUGGGGGACAACAUCUCGAAAGGGAUGCUAAUACCGCAUACGUCCUACGGGAGAAAGCAGGGGAUCUUCGGACCUUGCGCUAAUAGAUGAGCCUAAGUCGGAUUAGCUAGUUGGUGGGGUAAAGGCCUACCAAGGCGACGAUCUGUAGCGGGUCUGAGAGGAUGAUCCGCCACACUGGG